CCUACGGGAGGCAGCAGUGGGGAAUAUUGGGCAAUGCCUGCAAGGGUGACCCAGCAACGCCGCGUGGAGGAUGAAGGCCGUAAGGUUGUAAACUCUGACAAGCAGGGAAGAACGGCUAUGGUAAAAGGCCAUAGAAUGACGGUACCUGCCUGAAGCCCCGGCUAACUACGUGCCAGCAGCCGCGGUAAUACGUAGGGGGCGAGCGUUGUCCGGAUUUACUGGGUGUAAAGGGUGCGUAGGCGGGCUAGUAAGUCAGUGGUAAAAAACCGUGGCUUAACAGCGGGGGUGCCAUUGAUACUAUUAGUCUAGAGUACGGUAGGGAGAGCUGAAAUUCCUGGUGUAGGGGUGAAAUACGCAGAUAUCAGGAGGAAUACCGGAGGCGAAGGCGAGCUCUGGGGCCGCUACUGACGCUGAGGCACGAAAGCGGGGGGAUCAAACAGGAUUAGAUACCCCUGUAGU
Molecule: ribosomal RNA, 459 nt
Filed under: uncultured Ignavibacteriales bacterium
Lineage: Bacteria; Pseudomonadati; Ignavibacteriota; Ignavibacteria; Ignavibacteriales
Description: partial 16S ribosomal RNA
Rfam family: Bacterial small subunit ribosomal RNA
Source: RNAcentral